GCUGACCAUGCUCCACCAAGCGGACGAAAUUUCCCAUGCCCAAUCUGGAUCAGGCCCCACACAGCCACCACUCCGCUAAUCUCGCCCGUGUAUUCCGUAAUCUCUCCCAUAUCCGUUCGCCCUCCAAGAAAACGUUGUCGUUCCUCCCACGCGUAGCACCGGUCCUCCUUCCACCUUCCCCUUCCACCCAUCUGGCCUUCCCGCUUGCCGCUUCCCCGCUCCCCACGCGUCUCCUCUGGUGGCCGCCUUCGGCGAGUGGAAUUUGUUCCUCACUGGCUCGCUGCAUUCUUCCGCUGCGAGGUGUUGGUGUGGGGAUGGGAUCUGACAGGAUCGGGACGAGGAGGCGGCUGCGAGGUACACGCUCUGGACGCCGCGCGUGGAUGCGCUCAUUGCCGAGGCCGAGGCCGCUCUUUCUGGAGGCCGACGCCGCUCUUUCUGGAAGAAAUCCAUCGGUGUCAAGAGGGGUGACGUGGACACCUACGUCCUUCAUGUUUGGGCGCUGGAGGGUGACGGGAGGCAUCGAUUCGCCUAGGGGACUGCGGCUGCUAGAAGAGAUGCAGCAAUUGAAAGAUGCACAGGUACUUGAUGAGAUGCCACUAAGUCAAUCUGCUAUCUCAGGUUAUAUUGGAUGGUAAUUUAUUUUACAAUACAACUACAUCUUUCUUGAAUCAGAUUCGGACUGUUUGCGUGAAAUUUUGUUCUAUAGCUAUUUUUGGGUGGCUUUCUUUGUUUUGCUUUAUGUUGUAUAGUCAGUAGAAAACUCAAGCCCCAUCAUCUAACAAUUCUGUAGUAAUGACUGAAACUAUUCGAGGACAAAUCUUGGAUUAUUGUUGUCGUUGGAAUUUAGAGUUGCAUGGUUGACAUGGUCAACAUGGCAAAGAAAGUAUAGAAGAUUUGCCAAACCAGGUAUGGGCUUGUAGAGUACAUCAGGUAAUCAGAUUCUGCACCCAAAUUUAAUUUUACUUGAUUUUAAAUGCUUCUAGGGAGAUAAUGUCGAUAUGCUAGAUUGUGUUGUAGUUUAUGCUUGUCUGGUUAUGUAUAUUUUCUUCCAGAGCGUCACAUUUCCUUUUUGAGAAAUUCUAAUGGUGUAGGCUGAGCAUGGACGUUUGUGCUGCUGUGUGUUGAGGUCAAUCUCAGUUUGGUACACAGUAGAGCAAAGGGCGUGGCACUCGCCAAAUAUGGUGUAUGUCGGACUUUCCCCAUUUAUUUUUUCUCACACCAUACAAGAAUUAUACAGCUAGGUGAUCAGCUCAUCAUAGCUUUAAAUGAAAAUAAGUUAAAAAUUAGUUUGUCAAUAGUCACUAGAUACAAAUAUACGCCCUCCGUUUCUAAAUAUGAGUCUUCUUAGAUAUUUCAAUACGGACACAUACGGAUGUCAAUAGUCACUAGAUACAAAUAUACUCACUAAAUUCAUUCGUUUCGCUUCGUAUGUAAUUCAUAUUGAAAUCUUUAAAAAGACUUAUAUUAAGGAACAGAGGGAGUACUAUAUUGGGCUCUUUGUUUCAAAAGUUGUUUCUUAUCACGUAUAGAGGUUCAGUAUAGUUUGCAGCUGACAAGAUCCGUAUGACUUGCACUACUUGAUGUUCAUGUCAAGCCACACUUACUGUUAUCACUAAACUGAAAAAUGUCAACUUCCUAAUUAAAUUUACUGAAAUAUUGUGAAGCUGAAGCUCUCUGCAGGUAUUAUAUUUCCUGCUCAAUAUGCUCCUGUAUAAAACAUUUUUCUUGACGUGUGAGCAAACUCUGACGGACAAUAUGCUGAUUAACUUUGUUCUAAACUGUUGAAUCGCCAUAGGGAAGAUAGUAGUGUAGUACUGAGGAAAUACAAAGAAUGAUGAUUUAUAGCAUCAAUAGAGUGUGUAGGCAAUUUUGACUGUGGUACGCGAGGUCAUGUACUUUGUUAUCACUAGAAAAUUUAUGUACCUGUGCUGCUGGCCACUUUUUUUUAUAGACGCAGUAACUAAUCUUUGAAGUGUAUACAUGGUAUCAAAUAUAUCAAGAUUAACAUUAGUUUCCCCUGUUGAAGCUUGUGCAAUUGGAUUUAUGUUGAUCAAGAACUGGUCAACGAUAAAGGAGAACAAGCAUUGUAUUUUGUAUUACUAUUUUUAUACAAACUUUCUUCCCACAC
This is a long non-coding RNA of Triticum aestivum (bread wheat), 2128 nucleotides long. RefSeq lists it as uncharacterized. The record is from RefSeq and is a predicted model, not a curated record. The transcript is spliced from 2 exons. NCBI's taxonomy places the organism in Eukaryota, Viridiplantae, Streptophyta, Magnoliopsida, Poales, Poaceae.